Molecule: long non-coding RNA, 7328 nt
Filed under: Homo sapiens (human)
Lineage: Eukaryota; Metazoa; Chordata; Mammalia; Primates; Hominidae
Description: HSALNT0326243
Source: RNAcentral
CUGCAUGAUAUAAAUCUCUCUCCUUUUAAUUUCCAAAUUUCAAUCAUGUAGGCAACAAGCAGCCUUGCCAUGGACAUUCCCUGGAGUUUCCAUAUGAUUUUCCAUCCUGAAACAUUGAGACAGAACAGUUCUGUUUACAUUUUGGGUAUUUUGUAGUUCUCAACCUUCUUGUAUUAGCUCCUAAAUUAAGGAUGAACAAGGCUGGCAACAAGGAGCAGGUGGAAGAGGAGCAGAGGAAAACAAAGGAUCCCAAUAACCAAGCCCCCUGUCAGAUGGAUCACUGAUCUCCGAGACUGAUGCCUCUGAGACUUCACUUAAGACGCAGUACAAACCCCAAGUCUCCAAAACCUCAAAAUAGAUCCAGCCAAUUCAUAAUUUUGUUGAAAGAUGCUUUAUGUAAUCUUUGGAUUACCUAAAUACAUAUUAAUGAAGAGACGUAUGAUCAAUGAUAAAUCUUAUCGGAAAUUUCAUAAUCAGAAUAGAAAUGAUACAAAGGCAAUAAGAGGAUUCCAAGUUAUUAAAAUAUGGAAGUAAUAGCAUUAAAACAAUUAAAUGUUGAUUAUAAUUAUGUUCAGUGUAUAAAACAGUCAAUGCUUUCCUGCGAAUCUGCAAGCAGAGAAAAGUGACAAUGAAUGUAUAUUUAAGGUAGAGCCGGUUGCAGGAGAACCAUAAAUAUAAGUGGUCAGUUUAACUGAGACAGAUUUUUCAAAGUGUGGUACCAGGUUCAGAUUCCUUAAUUCAACAUGGCAAAUAUUGAUUGGGUUCUAGUUAGUAACAGUCCCCAUGGGAAGCAGGAAAUACCAAAAAUUGGGUGCUUUUUGAAAUUCUGAAAGAUGUGGCAAUCAAAAUGAGCCCAAUUAGCAUUUUACCUUCCAGAAUAAACAAUAUUUUCUUAAAUUGAUAAAUGAACAAAUGAAUGAAUAAGUAGAUAAUUAUAUAAGUUUCAAAGAACUAGAAGGGAGGUUCCUAAUAGAGGUUAAAUCAUCAGUAUUAAAAACUGAAAGAACAGGCAGUCAUUUGGCUUUCAUAAGGUUAAAUAGUUUUAGUUCAUUUAUAAAUGUCUGCAUUAGCUCUUCACAAUUAACUCUUCAUAGUAUCAAGAGUUAAUGUCUUGUCUUCCAUUUUUGUACUAAAAUAUUAAACCAGAAUGGCAAAAAUGUCUACUAAAAGAAUAAAUAAGAAUAAACAAUAAUAAUAAAGUUCAGCAUGAUUUGGUAUAUAGCUUAUGGUAAAUGAGAACGCAUUAUGACUUAUUUCUAAGAGUAGACAUACAGACAAAAUAAACAGAAUAAGUAGACAAAAAGUAACAUCACACAUACGCACAGAUUUUCAACUCUACUAAUAAUAACAUUUAGUAUUUAGAUAAGUAUAUCUCACAGUUCAUUUUCUUUCUUUUUUUUAAACAACAGAGCAUCUGUGGAAAUAAUUUAGUGAAACUUUUUUUUUUUUUUUUUUUGAGACGGAGUUUUGCUCUUGUUGCCCAGGCUGGAGUGCAAUGGCGCGAUCUUGGCUCACCGCAACCUCCGCCUCCUGGGUUCAAGCGAUUCUCCUGCCUUAGCCUCCCAAGUAGCUGGGAUUACAGGCAUGUGCCACCAUGACCAGCUAAUUUUUGUAUAUUUAGUAGAGACGGGGUUUCUCCAUGUUGGUAAGGCUGGUCUUGAACUCCCGACCUCAGGUGAUCCACCUGCCUCAGCCUCCCAAAGUGCUGGGAUUACAGGCGUAAGCCACCGUGCCUGGCCCAAUUUAGUGAAACUUUUUUACUACAAAUCAUUUUCUAUAGAUGCUUCAUAGCACUUCCUUUAAAAAGAAACUGGACACAUUAAUUUUUUUAACUAAACAUCUGAUCCUUUUCCUUGUCAUGUCAGCCCUAUUUUGAGCUCUUAAUGUCAUUUACAUUCUCAAUGUGAAAAAUGACAUCAAAAAUAAGAUAACGCUUUAUAUAGACUGACUUUGCCUGCUUUUUAAUGAAAAACAUCUACUAAACCACCAUUUCUCAUUCUGUUCUCCCAGUCUCAUCAACGUUGUAAAUUCAUGCAAGCCAAAGGAGCUUAUUCUGCCAACGUGAUCUGCAGGCUAAGCACAAGGUGACAUGAUUUAGCUAUAGAAGACAAGCCAAUGAUUUGUCUUCCCAGUGCAUUAAUAUCCCAAAAGUAUAUUGCUUGACUCUGGUAGAAUGCCAGUUCAUAGUAGAUACUGAGAGUAUAAAUUUAUUCAAUUAGGCAAGGAAUGUCUGCAGCUUCUUUCAGAUUCCACUGCAAACAUAUCAACAAACAUUGCUUUUACUAGUUUUUUAUUUGUUUGUUUGUUUUGCCACUGGUGGUUUAGGUAUAUUCCUGCCUGGAGAAUAAAGCCAAGGCUCUUGGGAGCAAGAACCAUAAAUUGGUUCUAUUUUAUUCAUAUUUUACAGCUCAAUAUGGAACAUACAUUGGGUGUAUGACUAGUGACAUCUGGAAGUUUAUUCUAACACAUAAUGUUUAAAUAUGGAAUACAUUUUUAAUUUUUUAAGUUAAGAAGAUAAAAUCAAAGAAAUAUUGUUUCAAAAGAGGUCCACAGACAUAUGGUUUAUAAAAACACCUAUUUUACAUAGCUUAAGCAUUCAUCAGAAAAGAAACAACCCAAAUAACCAAUUGAAAGCCGUUAUUUUCAAUGGCAAAACCAUUUAUUAAACCACAAUUACUUUUGCAUCAACCUAAUACUUUCGCCCAUCAAGUAACUGGCAUACUGCAUGCUGUUAAGUAUAGCCAAAAAAUAAAGAAAUUUGACAUACUCAUUAGCUUGUCAAGCUUUAAUACGACAUCAUUUUGAUUCUUUAAAUAUUUGAGAGACAGACUUCUUUCAAAAUCUGAGGACAAUGGGAGAAAAAUAAGCCAAAGGAUUCCUUAGUUGUGAAAAUGUUGGGCCCUAGUAGCAUAAAAGACAGACAGAAGACUAUAUCGAACUUAAAAACUUCCAUGUGUCAAAGAAAACAGUGAAAAAGCAACCUAUGAAAUGGAAAAGAACAUUCAAAAAUCAUCUGAUAAGAGAUUAGCAUCCAGAAUAUAUGAGAAACUUUGAGAACAUCACCAGAUAAAUGCAAAUCAAAACCACAAUGAGAUAUCACCUCACAGCCAUUAGAAUGGCCACUAUUAAACAGAAGAUAACUGUUGGCAAAGAUAUGGAGAAAUUAGAACCCCUGUGCACCAACAGUGGGAAUGUAAAACGGGGCAAACAUUGUGAAACAGUAUGGCAGUUCCACAAAAAAUUAAAAAUAGAAUUAUCAUAUGAUCCAGCAAUCCAAAUUCUGAAUUAUAUAUCUAAAAAAUUUCAAAGCAGAAUGUCAAAGAGAUAUUUGCACAUCCAUGUUCUUUGCAGCACUAUUCACAGUAGCCAAGUGGUGGAAGCAACCCAAAUGUCUACCAACAGAUGAGUGGGUCAUGAAAGUGUGGUAUAUAUGCACAAUGAAAUAUUAUACAGCCUUAAAAAGAAGAUAAUCCUGUCAUACAUGCUACAACACAGAUGAACCCUGAAUACAUUAUGCUAAGCAAAAUAAGCCAGUCACAAAAGGGCAAAUACUGUAUAACUCCACUCAUAUGAGGUAUCUAGAAUAGUCAAAAUGAUAGAAACAGAAAGCAAAAACAGUGGUUGCCAAAGGCUGUGGAAUUAGUGUUUAAUGAGUAGUUUCAGAGCUGCAAGUUAUAAAAGUUCUAGAGAUCUGUUGUAUAACAAUGUGAAUACACUUAAUAUUACUGCAUUGUACACUUAAACAUGGUUAAGAUGGUAAAUUUUUUUAAAGUUUUUACCAGUUAUUUAAAAAUAGGAAAGCAUUACUGAACAGCAUCACAAGCAUUUGUAGAGCAUGAACAUACAUACAAGGCUCUACCAAUAGCGCUGGGGACAGGGGAGCCUUUAUUCCCCACUUCUCAUAUUCCAUUCCAUGUGGAAGGACACCUAUCUAUUCAUGUAACUACCCUGACCUCCGGUGUGUCCCUUAUUGAUGUAAUUAAAUGAUUAUUUGGGCAGAGGAACCUUAACAUGUGAAACUCAGCAUGACUCUUCCUCUUCAUUGAGGUCUUCACCUAGAAAGCAAUGCUCUGUUUUGCUCUCAGCCAUGUGGAUGGAAGCUCAGCAAUGAAGGCUACCCUUGUGGGAGGCCUGGGUUUCUCUGGUGCUGCCUACACUGGGGAGCCAAAGCCUCUGUAUCUGUGGGGUUCACAACUGAAAAGCCUGCUGUGGCUGUACACCUAGGCCACAUCCCUCACUCUAGCCUGUAUAAUAGUAAUACUUUUACCUCUACCUGUUCAGCUCCUUUCUCUCAAGGGAUUCAGCACUCAAUCCCCAAGAAACAGCAAAGUCCCUAUCGUCAUAGCAUCUACAUUUUAAGGGAGAGUAAUCAUAUGGUUGGCUUCUCUAGCUGUAAACAGCUCCUGACCAGAAUCUUAUUUUGGGUGUGUGAACCUUCAGGUUCCAGAAAUAUAAUCAAUAUUUGCAUUUCUACAACAAAAUUUCCACAGCCUCUACCAAGUUCCAGACAUAUAUGACCUUCAAGAUACUGCCCUCCGAUGGAAAACUCCAACUUUCAGUUGAUACAAAAUCAUGAACAAAACUGUGACAGUCAUUACAGGUUUUUUAAAGUUAUGUUUCAUGUGAUUAAAAAUCAUAUUUUUUCCACUUUUUUAUUAUGGCUAAUAACACUAUGAUAUAUAUGAAAAAGUCUUAGUAAUUCUUUUUUUUAACAGUGCCCAAAUAUUUCACUAUCAUUCUUUUUUGAUAUCCUAAAACCAAAAUUUUGUCACGUCCUGUUAUCUGAUGCUGUCAUAUUUAGUCUUUUACUUUGGAAUUCCCAGUAUUUUCCCAACCAGCUAAUAUCCACAUAAUGUAGCUUUUGCCCAUUCACUUGCCCAUAUCCUUAGGGAUACAGGACUUUUACCAACACAUUUUAAAUUGUUUUGCACUAGGAUUUUACCUUUUUUUCUUUAUGAGGCAACACUGGCCAAUCAUUCCCUUCUAGAAUGUUGACUGCCAGUUGAAGGCUGAGUUCUAGGGACUUUUCUCAAACAGAACUUGAGCAACUAGUGUAUAGUCACAUAUGGAGUACAAUGCUAGCUAUGCAGUGAUAACCACAGGGAAUAUUUUCUAAAUUAGGACAUGGAAUGUCUUCUGAAUUGUCAAGAAAGAAAUGCUAUCUUCAAUGUACUUUUGUAAUUAAAUGUAUCCUUAUUGAUAAUCCAGGACAACAUUGACAUACAAAUUAACAUUUCAUCUCAACAUCCUAAUUUGGAGAAAACAAGAUUACAUAUCCCUGUGAAAAGAAGAGAUGGUACUGAAAUUGAGAGGGUCUACAGAGAUAUUUUCCAUUGGAACAGCACCUUUUAUUGGAAAACAAAGCAAGAACAGUAAAAACUCAUAUUUUCAUUCCUUAUUUACCCACAUGAAUAAAAAAAGAACUAGAUAACCAGGUCUUCCUUUGUACAUUCUCUUUUGCUGCAAAAAAAAACUGAACAUUCUGUGGAUCUUGAAAAUGUUAUCUGAUGAAGAGGUUAAUUCUUCCACAUAGAAAAAAAUAAUACAGAUUGUUUGCUUUUCUCACUGGAGUGAGAAAUCCUAAAUAGUUAAAGUAUAAGCAUAUCCUUCCCCUUGAGGUUAUUGAAAGGCUAAUUAAAGAUGUGCUUUUCAUGAAAGGUAUUACUGGGAGACUUCUUUUUCCAAAGGGACAUUCAAAAAAAGUUAAUAGACAAAGACCUUGGUAGAGUACCAGGAACAGUUAUUAUAUGGAUAAUGAACUAUGAAACAAAAAUCGUUUUUAGAGAAAUGUGUAGGCCGGGCACGGUGGCUCACGCCUGUAAUCCCAGCACUUUGGGAGGCCGAGGCGGGCAGAUCACAAGGUCAGGAGAUCGAGACCAUCCUGGCUAGCACGGUGAAACCCCAUCUCUACUAAAAAUACAAAAAAUUAGCCGGGCGUGGCGGCAUGUGCCUGUAGUCCCAGCUGCUGGGGAGGCUGAGGCAGGAGAAUGGUGUGAACCUGGGAGGCGGAGCUUGCAAUGAGCCAAGAUCGCGCCACUGCACUCCAGCCUGGGCAACAGAACAAGACUCCGUCUUAAAAAAAAAAUGUGUUAUGCACUGAUAGGUACAAGCAAAGCAUGUAGUACACAAGAAAGACAUACAUACAAUAUAUGUAUGACUUAUCAAAUAACUUUUGUUAAAUUAGUUUCUCCAAGAUGUGUAGCUGUAACAUUAACAUAUUUUCUUCUCAUUAUAAAUAUAUUUCAUUUUAAUUAGAUUGGUUCUUAAAUAGGUAUGAGAAUAAUAUCCCUUUCUGAUAUGGUUUGGCUGUGUCCCCACCCAAAUCUCAUCUUGAUUUGGAGCUCCCAUAAUCCCCUUGUGUCACGGGAGGGACCUGGUGGGAGGUAACUGAAUCAUGGGGGUGGGUUUUUCACAUGCUGUUCUUGUGAUAGUGAGUAAGUCUUUGAUCUGAUGGUUUUAUAAAGGGCAGUUUCCCUGCACACACUCUCUUGCUUGCUGCCACAUAAGACGUGCCUUUGCUUCUCCUUCACCUUCUGCCAUGAUUGUGAGGCCUCCCCAGCCAUGUGGACCUGAGUCCAUCAAACCUCUUUUUCUCUAUAAACUACCCAAUCUUAUGCUGUCUUUGUUAGCUCUGUGAGAAUGGACUAAUACACUUUCCUUCAUUUCUUCAGAGACAUUUUAGUUUUACUUUUGGUUAACUUCAAAUAGACUGAGCCAUGCUUUCAAUGCCAUUAGCUAGGUGAUUGAUUUAUGAAUAAGCACUUAUAUUAAAGAGCAAUUAUUUAUAUUCUCAGUAAUAUUCUGUUUUAAAAAGGGAUUUGGAGGUUUCUUAAACGGAUACUCCCCUGACGUAUUUAUCUGCUUUGUAAGUCUGUUUUAUGUACUUAUCUUCAAAUACAGGGCAUGUCUGUUUUGUGAUGACUAACCUGGUGAUGUCAGAGGCCCAACAUUUUAAUAUUUUCAACGGAUGAAAUAUGGCAUAGAAUUUAGAGAAAGUCAUAAGUCAUAGAUGGGUUUAAAAAUAAGGAAGUAUCAUUUCUCCAUAUGUGGCUAACAUUUUUCAGUUAAUCAAGUUCAAGCACAGCUGCCAUAUAACCAAAGAACAGGGGAUUACAAGGGCCUUCAAAACAUAAAGUAGCUUAGAGCUCAAGCUCAACCUUGUUUCUAGCAGCUCCUGGUGGUGUGUCCCCUUCCUGCUUCUGAGUCCUAAGCCAAACCUUGGCCAGUGAGUCAGAGCACAGCUCUGUUCCCACCUGCUCUCAUCUAGAGGCACCCUUCCUUCUACUCCUGUUCACUGUAAAGGUCAACUCCAAAAAUGAUCACAAAUU